GACGGAGGAUGCAAGUGUUAUCCGGAAUCACUGGGCGUAAAGCGUCCGUAGGUGGUUUAAUAAGUCAACUGUUAAAUCUUGAGGCUCAACCUCAAAAUCGCAGUCGAAACUAUUAGGCUAGAGUAUAGUAGGGGUAAAGGGAAUUUCCAGUGGAGCGGUGAAAUGCGUAGAGAUUGGAAAGAACACCGAUGGCGAAGGCACUUUACUGGGCUAUUACUAACACUCAGAGACGAAAGCUAGGGUAGCAAAUGGG
RNAcentral lists this ribosomal RNA (253 nucleotides) under uncultured bacterium. RNAcentral describes it as "partial 16S ribosomal RNA". It matches the Rfam family "Bacterial small subunit ribosomal RNA", at positions 524 to 776 of the family's 1533-position model. The record is from RNAcentral.